This is a long non-coding RNA of Saccostrea echinata, 340 nucleotides long. RefSeq lists it as uncharacterized. Lineage: Eukaryota; Metazoa; Mollusca; Bivalvia; Ostreida; Ostreidae. The transcript has 5 exons. The record is from RefSeq and is a predicted model, not a curated record.
UGUCUAUUUCAGGUUUAAGUACAUGUUGAACAGCCUUCUCCAUAAAGCGGAUAUUCUGAAGACAGCGAUGACGUGAAAGUUCAAGAUUUGCCUAUUGUGAGCAUUCAGAUACCUCGGUAAUACAGAAUGGGUCAAAAAACGCACAAAGGUUAAUCACAUCAUGCUGCAUUACACUGUAACAGAACAAUUUAUCUGAUGCAAGCAUCAAUCAUGAAAAUAAGAAAGGAGGUUAGGUCCAAAGAGAAGGCAAUGUAAGAAAUGAUUGCUGAAUUCCUGAGGAUUGGGAUGAAUCUUUUCUAUUCUUACUAACUGUCCAAACAUCAUUUGAGGAUCCCUUCCU